Molecule: ribosomal RNA, 978 nt
Filed under: Salmonella enterica subsp. enterica
Lineage: Bacteria; Pseudomonadati; Pseudomonadota; Gammaproteobacteria; Enterobacterales; Enterobacteriaceae
Description: partial 23S ribosomal RNA
Rfam family: Bacterial large subunit ribosomal RNA
Source: RNAcentral
CAUCCUCCAAGGCUAAAUACUCCUGACUGACCGAUAGUGAACCAGUACCGUGAGGGAAAGGCGAAAAGAACCCCGGCGAGGGGAGUGAAAAAGAACCUGAAACCGUGUACGUACAAGCAGUGGGAGCACAGGUUUACCUGUGUGACUGCGUACCUUUUGUAUAAUGGGUCAGCGACUUAUAUUCUGUAGCAAGGUUAACCGAAUAGGGGAGCCGGAGGGAAACCGAGUCUUAAUUGGGCGUUAAGUUGCAGGGUAUAGACCCGAAACCCGGUGAUCUAGCCAUGGGCAGGUUGAAGGUUGGGUAACACUAACUGGAGGACCGAACCGACUAAUGUUGAAAAAUUAGCGGAUGACCUGUGGCUGGGGGUGAAAGGCCAAUCAAACCGGGAGAUAGCUGGUUCUCCCCGAAAGCUAUUUAGGUAGCGCCUCGUGAAUUCAUCUCCGGGGGUAGAGCACUGUUUCGGCUAGGGGGCCAUCCCGGCUUACCAACCCGAUGCAAACUGCGAAUACCGGAGAAUGUUAUCACGGGAGACACACGGCGGGUGCUAACGUCCGUCGUGAAGAGGGAAACAACCCAGACCGCCAGCUAAGGUCCCAAAGUCAUGGUUAAGUGGGAAACGAUGUGGGAAGGCCCAGACAGCCAGGAUGUUGGCUUAGAAGCAGCCAUCAUUUAAAGAAAGCGUAAUAGCUCACUGGUCGAGUCGGCCUGCGCGGAAGAUGUAACGGGGCUAAACCAUGCACCGAAGCUGCGGCAGCGAACGUAUCACUUAAAGCGAUUCAGCGGGUUACGAUUGACGGAGCGAAGCGACGUCAAAGCGUAUACAAAGUCGAGUCGGUUUAAGGAUACGUUCGUUGGGUAGGGGAGCGUUCUGUAAGCCUGCGAAGGUGGCCUGUGAGGGUUGCUGGAGGUAUCAGAAGUGCGAAUGCUGACAUAAGUAACGAUAAAGCGGGUGAAAAGCCCGCUCGCCGGAAGACCAA